UGUUCCUCUGAUCUGAGAGGCAUCAGUUCGAGAAGACAUUCGUUCAUCUGUUCUUUCAUUCCUUAUUGCUUGCUUUAAAAGAUCAAGAGCCAGCAUCCCAACUCCAAAUCACAUAUGAAGCAGAUUGACAGAACUGCAAGUCCUUGAAAAUGAAAGUUUUGUUUUGACCAGUCCUAUGAUGUCUCUUAAAGCCCCUAUCUUGCUAUGAUUGUAUAGUCGUAUGAUGGAAGACUGAGCCGUCAGUCCACAGAAGAGUGAAGUAUUAACUGCUCCAUAGGCCGCCUGCUCUCCUUUAUUCCACUUGAAGGGAAGUAACAAACAUCUUCAGUCUGUACACUUAUAGAAUAGAGGAUUUAUCUGUCCUUUCUGAUUCGUGGAAGGUAACUAUCCAAAUCUGCUGGAGGAAAGAACAAAGUGAAUGAGCAGUGUAGCUUCUCACACAUUUCUGUUAGGAGCAGAAAAGCUAUGUAAGUUUGAGAAGAUGGGAACAGUCCCCAAUUACCUUCUUUCUCUCUGUGCCAAGAAGAAGCAGAUGCCUGACUGGAAAGCCCUCAGAGUGCUUGGCAAAGACCGAGACUUUAUAAGAGGAGCAAGGAACAAUGUCCAGCCCAGUGUGAAGUUGUCAGCUAUUUACUGAGGAUGCAAGGGGGGACUGCAUGAAGCCUGCUGGAUUAAAUGCCAACCCAAGAGAGAACCCAUCCUGCAUAAACACAAAAGGAAGUGGGAAAUUUGUUAUCCUCCACAUUUAAAUUUUUUUUCCUUCUCAAUUGCCUUUAUUUUUUAAGAAGUCAUAUGCUACCCAUAUUCCUAGGAGGUUUUCUUAGCAUCUUGCAAAAUGAGUCCCUGACUCAUGGAAAAGAACUCCAUGGACACUGUUCUUCUCUGCACAGCUGAUCUGACUCAAGUGUAGAGUGUAGUAAAUCUUCUAAUGAGCUUUAGCUCACCUCUUGAGUACAGCUACACAGUGACCUACCAGGGAAUUUUGGUCCUUCAUGAAAGAUGCUUCUUGAUACCUAUUGUCAAGGCUGGAUAGAGAUGUGUAUCCUCAGACUCCACAGCGGCCUGUGCACCCACUCUUCCCUGCCUGCCCAUCCCCAGUGCCAAGUCUUCCCAGUCUGGAACCCUGAAGUCUUCCUGCUGCUGUCAUCCUGCCCGCUCCUACUUGCCAUUUUGCCUUCUAGCCAUGCUGUGAUGGAGAGGACUGCCUUAGGGCUGUGUGGGCUUAAAAGAGAUACUGUGAGGCACUGGAGCCGUGCAGAUUUAUACAGUUGUCACUGGACAUCAGAACUCUGUGAACUUGAUAGAGUUUGCCUUAGGGCUGUGUGGAUUUAAGGGCUCCACAAGAUUUCAGGAUAUAAAAAUCCUUCUAAAAACUACGUAAUUCACCUUCAGAUCUUACAGAAAUAAAUAAAUAAAUAAGUAAAUAUCUUCA
RNAcentral lists this long non-coding RNA (1432 nucleotides) under Phasianus colchicus (ring-necked pheasant). RNAcentral describes it as "lncRNA (ENSPCLG00000004200.1)". The record is from RNAcentral. Lineage: Eukaryota; Metazoa; Chordata; Aves; Galliformes; Phasianidae.